GAUUAUAUAUAUUUUUUUAACUGACAAAAAAUUUAUUUCUAAAUAUAGGUUAUUUAUAAAUUUAAAAGAGUGUUUAUAAAACUAUAAAUGAUUUUAUAGUCAAUUAGAUAUUUUAAGAUGGUAAUGACAAUAAGGGCAAAGUUGGAAUUUUGUUUGUUGUUUAUUCAAAAUUGAUAAUAAAUUAGUGUGAAGGUUAUUUUUGAAAGUUUCUCUGUUUUAAAAGGUUACUUUUAAAAUGUUAUUUAUGAUAUUUUAAUUUUUAUAGGGGCAUUUAUGAUAUUAGACUUAUUUGGAAGGGUAGUGAUGAAAUUUUCCCUUUUUUUAACUAAUCAAAGAUCAUCAUAUUUCACUUUAUACUAUAUUGCCUUACCCAUUUUGUUGUUCUUAGUUAAAACAAAAAAAUAAAAAUAAAAAAAUAAAAAAAAAAUAAAUUAGAACAUUACAGAAAGAAUCAAAGCGAAUCAAAUGUGUCUAUAAUUCGUGCACGAAAAGCAAUGGAGCUCGACGUUGCCACUUCCAUUGGGUGCUACUACCUAUCCUUGUGAGAGCAAAAUAGUCAUUAUACUAAAAUACAGUGAAAAACUUUGAUACUAAAAUAGAGCACCUAAUCAAAUAUUUAGGUAGCGUUUGGUUCGGGAACAAAAGGGGGAAUAAGCUCUUGUUCCUUCCUUCGUUUUUAAACGCUGCGUUUGGUAUCCGAGAACAGUAGCUCUCGGGUUUUUGAAAUAAACCGGUAUAAGAUUGGAACUGUUAUUCCACCUUUUUCUUGGAACAAGCUUGUUACCAGGUGAGAAUAAGAUAAAUUAAAGUGUAAAAAUAAUUUUAAUUAUGAUAUUAAUUAAUUUAAUUAAUAUAUUUAAAUCAUUAUUUAUUGCUUAAAUAAUAAAAUAAUUUAUUUCUUUAUUAUUUAUAAUUAUUAAUAAUUACUUACUAAUAAUUUAUUAUUAAUUAAUAAUUUACUAUUUAUAAUUAUUUAUUAUUUAUUAUUUAUUAUCUAAUUAAUUUUUUAUUAAUUAAUUAAUUUAAUUAUAAUUUAUUAUUAUUUAAUUAAUUUAUUAUUUAUAAUUAUUAAUAUUAAUUUAUUAUUAUUAAGUAAUAUUUUGAUUUAAUUAAUUCAAUAAAAUAAUUUUAAUUUAAAAUUAUAACUCUUUUUUUUUUUUUCCAAUCUAACCAUCCAAACACUAUUUAUCUUAUUUUUUAGAACAACCCAAUUUUUAUCCAAAUACAAAAUUGGUCUACUUCCUGCUUAUAUUGAACUUGUACUUAUCCCUGAAAUAAGCAAUUCUUAUUUAUACCCGAACCAAACGCAGUCUUAGGAUUAAAUGCAUUAAACCAUUUAAAUUUCUGCCAAUUUACAUAUAGCCAACUAAACUUUAAAAAUAUAAUAUUUUUUAU
RNAcentral lists this long non-coding RNA (1395 nucleotides) under Ananas comosus (pineapple). Its description in RNAcentral is "long non-coding RNA (ACOM_LNC027802)". The record is from RNAcentral. Lineage: Eukaryota; Viridiplantae; Streptophyta; Magnoliopsida; Poales; Bromeliaceae.